GUGCCAGCAGCCGCGGUAAUACGUAGGGGGCAAGCGUUGUCCGGAAUUAUUGGGCGUAAAGCGCGUGUAGGCGGUCCGAUAAGUCGGCUGUGAAAGUCCAGGGCUCAACUCUGGAAUGCCGGCCGAUACUGUCGGACUAGAGUCCGGAAGAGGCAAGUGGAAUUCCCGGUGUAGCGGUGAAAUGCGCAGAUAUCGGGAGGAACACCAAUGGCGAAGGCAGCUUGCUGGGACGGCACUGACGCUGAGACGCGAAAGCGUGGGGAGCAAACAGGAUUAGAUACCCGGGUAGUCC
Molecule: ribosomal RNA, 292 nt
Filed under: uncultured bacterium
Lineage: Bacteria
Description: partial 16S ribosomal RNA
Rfam family: Bacterial small subunit ribosomal RNA
Source: RNAcentral